CUUCGUCAACUUCUGUUUGGUUGCCGAGGAAAUUUAAUUACUUCUUGGAUUUUGAUAUUCUCGUCCUUUUGAUUCUAUUGAUAGAUUUUAGUUUCGUGAUCAGCGGAUAAUCUUGUGUUUGCAGAAUUUCUGAUAAAAAUUAUGACUAGGAGCCGUUUCAAGCAAGAGCAUGAUUUUGAGAAGAGGAGGGCUGAAGCUGCGAGAAUCAGGGAGAAAUACCCGGACAGGAUUCCGGUAAUUGUGGAGAAGGCUGAGAGAAGCGAUAUUCCCAACAUUGACAAGAUAAAGUACCUAGUCCCGGCUGACCUGACAGUCGGUCAAUUUGUUUAUGUGAUCCGGAAGAGAAUUAAACUGAGUGCAGAAAAGGCAAUUUUUAUAUUUGUGGACAAUGUCCUCCCACCAACUGGAGCAAUAAUGUCGUCAAUCUAUGAUGAAAAGAAGGAUGAGGAUGCAUUUCUCUAUGUCACGUACAGUGGGGAAAACACAUUUGGGUGCCAGAUGUUGCCAUAGCCAAGUUCUUUCAGUGUCUUCCAUUCUUUGUCAUUACAAGUUAAAAUCUAUCUCUCGUUUCCUAGGACUUGAACAGUCCUGGUAUUAUGCCCUGUGAUUUAUGGCCUUGUUGCCUUUCUUGUACAUGUGUGCAGCUCUUCGGAAAUUGAAAUGGUGUCAACUACUGAAAGUAAUUAAAAAUUUCGAAACAUGUUUUCUUUU
This is an RNA transcript of Populus euphratica (Euphrates poplar), 711 nucleotides long. It is a transcript of the gene named autophagy-related protein 8f-like, with no coding region annotated. The transcript has 6 exons. The record is from RefSeq and is a predicted model, not a curated record. Lineage: Eukaryota; Viridiplantae; Streptophyta; Magnoliopsida; Malpighiales; Salicaceae.